UAGCUUGGGAAUCUGGCUUAUGGAGGGGGAUAACUACGGGAAACUGUAGCUAAUACCGCGUAGAAUCGGAAGAUGAAAGUGCGGGACCGCAAGGCCGCAUGCCAUGAGAUGAGCCCAAGUGGGAUUAGGUAGUUGGUGGGGUAAAGGCCUACCAAGCCUGCGAUCUCUAGCUGGUCUGAGAGGAUGGCCAGCCACACUGGAACUGAGACACGGUCCAG
RNAcentral lists this ribosomal RNA (218 nucleotides) under uncultured bacterium. Its description in RNAcentral is "partial 16S ribosomal RNA". It matches the Rfam family "Bacterial small subunit ribosomal RNA", at positions 113 to 334 of the family's 1533-position model. The record is from RNAcentral.